AUGAGUAAUAAUAAAUAAUUCUGUCAAACAUUGAUUGCAGGUUUUGCUCUUCUGAGAUAUGGACAGACCAGGUGGUCAUUCCUACCAGGGAGAAGUGAGGCUCAGUGGCGUGGCUGUCCUGGGCAAGGAGAUAAGAAAUACCAGUCUCCAAACAUCCAUGUGUACAUUAAGUGGUGUGGAUUUUGCUUUCAGAGAGAAAACAAACAAACAAACAAACAAACAACAAAACUUGUGGAUGGCCUUACUUGUCAUGGGGAGAGUGUCAAAAGCAGACACAAGACAAAGCAACAUGGACUUGCCAGCUGCUCAAUCCAUUGAGGACUCCAAUGACAAAAUGCUGUUAUUUCAAGGGAAAAAAACACAACCAAAAAAAGCCAUUUCAAAUAGUUCAGCUAGUUGCCAAUCUGAAUCAAGUCAGCAGAACAUCACAGACAUGGAGAUGAGAGAAAUGCAGCUGAGUUGAACGUUGAGGGUGUGAAAACUUCAGGAAGUCUCUAGAAGAUCUGAGAUACCUACAGAAAGGACACAAGCAAAACUCAUCACUGCUGCCAAGAGGUAAGGAACUCCCCUCAUAAUGGAGAAAUUGAUGGAUCUGGUUUCCCUCCAGGUGAAAGAAAGGCAGCUGAUCUGAUCUCCUAGGAAUUGAUGACUAUAAGCAGUCAUAUUACUGAAGAACAAAAAACGCAUGUUGCCAGACCUGCAAAAAGUUGCCUUCCUUGACUAGAAUGGGAAGACAAACACUUAUCACCUUCAAGUUUCAAACCCACAAUAUAGCAGAUCAUCACUGACAAGGAGGAGAAGAGUUACAGAUGCUCAGGAUUUGAGUAGAAAGGAAUAGGAAUGGAGCUGAACAGAUCCAACACCUGAAAGGACGAUUGGAUCUCACAAGGACGAAACCAUGAAAAAGACCCUUCAUUCAAUAAAGCAACAGAAUUGGCUCUGAGGAGAGGUAAGAAACAUUUGGGAAGUC
This is a non-coding RNA of Chelonoidis abingdonii (Abingdon island giant tortoise), 970 nucleotides long. The record is from RefSeq and is a predicted model, not a curated record. Lineage: Eukaryota; Metazoa; Chordata; Testudines; Testudinidae.